UGGCAAACGGGUGCGUAACGCGUAAGCAACCUGCCUCAUACUGGGGGAUAGCCCGGCGAAAGCUGGGGUAAACCCGCACGGUCCUGUUGAGUUUCAUGACUUGACAGGUAAACAUUUAUGGGUAUGAGAGGGGCUUGCGUCUGAUUAGUUAGUUGGCAGGGUAACGGCCUACCAAGACGAUGAUCAGUAGGGGUUCUGAGAGGAUUGGCCCCCACAUGGGUACUGAGAUACGGACCCA
This 238-nucleotide ribosomal RNA is filed under the name uncultured bacterium. RNAcentral describes it as "partial 16S ribosomal RNA". It matches the Rfam family "Bacterial small subunit ribosomal RNA", at positions 96 to 334 of the family's 1533-position model. The record is from RNAcentral.